RNAcentral lists this ribosomal RNA (428 nucleotides) under uncultured bacterium. Its description in RNAcentral is "bacterial SSU rRNA". It matches the Rfam family "Bacterial small subunit ribosomal RNA", at positions 355 to 775 of the family's 1533-position model. The record is from RNAcentral.
CGGGGAAUAUUGGACAAUGGGCGCAAGCCUGAUCCAGCCAUACCGCGUGGGUGAAGAAGGCCUUCGGGUUGUAAAGCCCUUUUGUUGGGAAAGAAAUCCAGCUGGCUAAUACCCGGUUGGGAUGACGGUACCCAAAGAAUAAGCACCGGCUAACUUCGUGCCAGCAGCCGCGGUAAUACGAAGGGUGCAAGCGUUACUCGGAAUUACUGGGCGUAAAGCGUGCGUAGGUGGUCGUUUAAGUCCGUUGUGAAAGCCCUGGGCUCAACCUGGGAACUGCAGUGGAUACUGGGCGACUAGAGUGUGGUAGAGGGUAGCGGAAUUCCUGGUGUAGCAGUGAAAUGCGUAGAGAUCAGGAGGAACAUCCAUGGCGAAGGCAGCUACCUGGACCAACACUGACACUGAGGCACGAAAGCGUGGGGAGCAAACAG